CGAAACGGGUGAGUAACGCGUGAGGAACCUGCCUCAAAGAGGGGGACAACAGUUGGAAACGACUGCUAAUACCGCAUAAGCCCACGGUGCCGCAUGGCACAGAGGGAAAAGGAGCAAUCCGCUUUGAGAUGGCCUCGCGUCCGAUUAGCUAGUUGGUGAGGUAACGGCCCACCAAGGCGACGAUCGGUAGCCGGACUGAGAGGUUGAACGGCCACAUUGGGACUGAGACACGGCCCAG
This 238-nucleotide ribosomal RNA is filed under the name uncultured bacterium. Its description in RNAcentral is "partial 16S ribosomal RNA". It matches the Rfam family "Bacterial small subunit ribosomal RNA", at positions 101 to 334 of the family's 1533-position model. The record is from RNAcentral.